This is a non-coding RNA of Podarcis lilfordi (Lilford's wall lizard), 81 nucleotides long. Lineage: Eukaryota; Metazoa; Chordata; Lepidosauria; Squamata; Lacertidae. The record is from the annotation of a GenBank genome assembly.
GGCUGCUGGGAGAUAGCUCAGUCUGGAGAGCAUGAGACUCUUAAUCUCAGGGUUGUGGGGUUCAAGCCCCAGGGUGAGCCA